GGCGGUGGUCAGAAUUAGAAAGAGAGAGCCGGAAGGGACCUUCAUUUUGCAGACCCAAACCUUCAUUCUACAGAUGAGCAAACAGAUGCCCAGACAGGAGACGUGACUCCCCCAAGGUCACACUGGUACUGCUCGGCGAGCGGAGAUGACUCUUCACCCCUUGGCGUUCUCCGCUCUGCGUGGGAGCUGCCAGCCCCGAAGGAGCCGGCUGCCCGCGGGCGCUGCAGCCUUGAGCCGCCAAGGCUGCCGUUUGCCAAGCCCCUCACUGCCCCGAGUUUUCUCCUUCUUUGCGCCUGUUCCAUCGGAGAAAGGAUCUAGAUUUUGGAGGUUCUUACAAAGCCCUCAAGGUGAUUCUGAUGUGCAUUCAAGUUCGAGAGCCUCGGGACUAUAGGGUCCAGCCCUAAGAUCCUCUACUUUUUAGGUUGUGUGCAUCAGAGGAGCAAGAUGAAGGAACUGGUAACCCUGGGACAGAGGUCGUGCUGUCAUCUCAAUUUUACAGAAGAAACUGAGGUUCAAGAGAUGGAAGGAAAUGACUUGAUUGGGCUCAUCCACGAAGAGGCAGAGCUCAGUCUGGACCCAGGCCUGGCCUGUAGUGCUCCGGGCCAUGCCAGUCAGCUAGACCACGUGCACACAACGGGGUUGUUCAGGCCUGAAUCACAGACACAUGUUCUGGUUAACAGUCUCACUUUUGCAGAGGGCCCCCUUCCCAUAGGAUUCUUAUGAAAAUACAAUGAGAACACAGAUGUGUAAAAGGGUGAAAGGAAAGACAUGAUGCCAAGUACUGCAGACAACUGGUUAACAUAGUAGAUCCACGUGAAACUCUCCUUAGCUGCCCUGCUCUUCCCUGCUUCCCCAUUGCCUGCACGCAGGUCUCAGACUCACGCCUUUCAUGUACUGCCAUGAUAAUCUUCACCAUAUAGAUGACCUGCGCUCAUUAAUAUUAAAUAAUUGAACUUUACUUAGAAUGCACUUAUGUGGUUCAAAAUGCAGACGUUAUAAAAGGGUAUACAGCAAAAUCUCUCCCACCCACCCUGUCAAUCAGGUCACUUCCCCAGAGAUGGCCAUCAUUGCUACAGUCUGUAUGUUUGUGUCCUCCUAAAAUUCAUAUGUUGGAAUCCUAACCCCCAUGUCAUGGGUUAAAAGGGGGGCCUUCAGGAGGUAAUUAGGUCGUGAGGGUGGAGCCCCCAUGGAUGGGAUUAGUGCCCUUAUAAAACAGACCCCAGAGAGUUCCGUUCCCCCCUCCAUAAUAUGAAGACACGUGGAAAAGGCUUCAGCUGUGAACCAUGAAGAGAGUUUUCUCCAGAAUGUGGCCAUGCCGGUACUUUGAUCUUGGACUUCUCAACCUCCAGAA
Molecule: long non-coding RNA, 1351 nt
Organism: Eubalaena glacialis (North Atlantic right whale)
Lineage: Eukaryota; Metazoa; Chordata; Mammalia; Artiodactyla; Balaenidae
Exons: 3
Source: RefSeq, a predicted model, not a curated record